Molecule: non-coding RNA, 74 nt
Organism: Parelaphostrongylus tenuis
Lineage: Eukaryota; Metazoa; Nematoda; Chromadorea; Rhabditida; Metastrongylidae
Source: the annotation of a GenBank genome assembly
GCCUCGGAGGUGUAGUGGUAGCAGCACGUGUCUCCGGUAUGGAUGAAACCCGGGUUCAAUUCUCGUCUGAGGCC